AUUGAACGCUGGCGGCAGGCCUAACACAUGCAAGUCGAGCGGAUGAAGGGAGCUUGCUCCUGGAUUCAGCGGCGGACGGGUGAGUAAUGCCUAGGAAUCUGCCUGGUAGUGGGGGAUAACGUCCGGAAACGGGCGCUAAUACCGUAUACGUCCUGAGGGAGAAAGUGGGGGAUCUUCGGACCUCACGCUAUCAGAUGAGCCUAGGUCGGAUUAGCUAGUUGGUGGGGUAAAGGCCUACCAAGGCGACGAUCCGUAACUGGUCUGAGAGGAUGAUCAGUCACACUGGAACUGAGACACGGUCCAGACUCCUACGGGAGGCAGCAGUGGGGAAUAUUGGACAAAGGGCGAAAGCCUGAUCCAGCCAUGCCGCGUGUGUGAAGAAGGUCUUCGGAUUGUAAAGCACUUUAAGUUGGGAGGAAGGGCAGUAAGUUAAUACCUUGCUGUUUUGACGUUACCAACAGAAUAAGCACCGGCUAACUUCGUG
RNAcentral lists this ribosomal RNA (484 nucleotides) under uncultured bacterium. RNAcentral's name for it is "partial 16S ribosomal RNA". It matches the Rfam family "Bacterial small subunit ribosomal RNA", at positions 30 to 507 of the family's 1533-position model. The record is from RNAcentral.